RNAcentral lists this ribosomal RNA (251 nucleotides) under uncultured archaeon. RNAcentral's name for it is "partial 16S ribosomal RNA". It matches the Rfam family "Archaeal small subunit ribosomal RNA", at positions 748 to 998 of the family's 1478-position model. The record is from RNAcentral.
CAGCCGUAAACAAUGUGCGUUAGGUGUGUCGGUAACCACGCGUUACUGAUGCGCCGAGGAGAAAUCGUGAAACGCACCACCUGGGAAGUACGGUCGCAAGGCUGAAACUUAAAGGAAUUGGCGGGGGAGCACCACAACAGGUGGAGCCUGCGGUUUAAUUGGAUUCAACGCCGGACAUCUCACCGGAUAAGACAGCUGAAUGAUUGUCAAUCUGAAGGUUUUACAUGACUAGCUGAGAGGAGGUGCAUGGC